This 301-nucleotide ribosomal RNA is filed under the name uncultured bacterium. RNAcentral's name for it is "partial 16S ribosomal RNA". It matches the Rfam family "Bacterial small subunit ribosomal RNA", at positions 509 to 807 of the family's 1533-position model. The record is from RNAcentral.
CAGUCGCCGCGGGAAUACGUAGGGUGCAAGCGUUAAUCGGAAUUACUGGGCGUAAAGCGUGCGCAGGCGGUUUGUUAAGACAGAUGUGAAAUCCCCGGGCUCAACCUGGGAACUGCAUUUGUGACUGGCAGGCUAGAGUGUGGCAGAGGGGGGUGGAAUUCCGCGUGUAGCAGUGAAAUGCGUAGAUAUGCGGAGGAACACCGAUGGCGAAGGCAGCCCCCUGGGCCAACACUGACGCUCAUGCACGAAAGCGUGGGGAGCAAACAGGAUUAGAUACCCGCGUAGUCCCUGUCUCUUAUAC